GCCAUGCGAGUCAUGGGGCGCGCUCUGCGCGCACCGGCGGACGGCUCAGUAACACGUCGGUAACCUACCCUCGGGAGGGGGAUAACCCCGGGAAACUGGGGCUAAUCCCCCAUAGGCCUGGGGUACUGGAAGGUCCCCAGGCCGAAAGGGCGUAAGCCGCCCGAGGAUGGGCCGGCGGCCGAUUAGGUAGUUGGUGGGGUAACGGCCCACCAAGCCGAAGAUCGGUACGGGCCAUGAGAGUGGGAGCCCGGAGAUGGACACUGAGACACGGGUCCAGGCCCUACGGGGCGCAGCAGGCGCGAAACCUCCGCAAUGCGGGCAACCGCGACGGGGGGACCCCCAGUGCCGUGGCACAGCCACGGCUUUUCCGGAGUGUAAAAAGCUCCGGGAAUAAGGGCUGGGCAAGGCCGGUGGCAGCCGCCGCGGUAAUACCGGCGGCCCAAGUGGUGGCCGCUAUUAUUGGGCCUAAAGCGUCCGUAGCCGGGCCCGUAAGUCCCUGGCGAAAUCCCACGGCUCAACCGUGGGGCUUGCUGGGGAUACUGCGGGCCUUGGGACCGGGAGAGGCCGGGGGUACCCCUGGGGUAGGGGUGAAAUCCUGUAAUCCCAGGGGGACCGCCAGUGGCGAAGGCGCCCGGCUGGAACGGGUCCGACGGUGAGGGACGAAGGCCAGGGGAGCGAACCGGAUUAGAUACCCGGGUAGUCCUGGCUGUAAAGGAUGCGGGCUAGGUGUCGGGCGAGCUUCGAGCUCGCCCGGUGCCGAAGGGAAGCCGUUAAGCCCGCCGCCUGGGGAGUACGGCCGCAAGGCUGAAACUUAAAGGAAUUGGCGGGGGAGCACUACAAGGGGUGGAGCGUGCGGUUUAAUUGGAUUCAACGCCGGGAACCUCACCGGGGGCGACGGCAGGAUGAAGGCCAGGCUGAAGGUCUUGCCGGACGCGCCGAGAGGAGGUGCAUGGCCGCCGUCAGCUCGUACCGUGAGGCGUCCACUUAAGUGUGGUAACGAGCGAGACCCGCGCCCCCAGUUGCCAGUCCUCCCCGCUGGGGAGGAGGCACUCUGGGGGGACCGCCGGCGAUAAGCCGGAGGAAGGAGCGGGCGACGGUAGGUCAGUAUGCCCCGAAACCCCCGGGCUACACGCGCGCUACAAUGGGCGGGACAAUGGGAUCCGACCCCGAAAGGGGAAGGGAAUCCCCUAAACCCGCCCUCAGUUCGGAUCGCGGGCUGCAACUCGCCCGCGUGAAGCUGGAAUCCCUAGUACCCGCGUGUCAUCAUCGCGCGGCGAAUACGUCCCUGCUCCUUGCACACACCGCCCGUCACUCCACCCGAGCGGGGUCCGGGUGAGGCCUGGUCUCCCUUCGGGGAGG
RNAcentral lists this ribosomal RNA (1359 nucleotides) under Thermococcus sp. AMT7. RNAcentral describes it as "16S ribosomal RNA". It matches the Rfam family "Archaeal small subunit ribosomal RNA". The record is from RNAcentral. Lineage: Archaea; Methanobacteriati; Methanobacteriota; Thermococci; Thermococcales; Thermococcaceae.